CAAACGACUCUCGGCAACGGAUAUCUCGGCUCACGCAUCGAUGAAGAACGUAGCAAAAUGCGAUACUUGGUGUGAAUUGCAGAAUCCCGUGAACCAUCGAGUUUUUGAACGCAAGUUGCGCCCGAGGCCAUCCGGCCGAGGGCACGUCUGCCUGGGCGUCACGC
This 164-nucleotide ribosomal RNA is filed under the name Cyclolepis genistoides. RNAcentral describes it as "5.8S ribosomal RNA". It matches the Rfam family "5.8S ribosomal RNA". From Rfam's summary of the family: 5.8S ribosomal RNA (5.8S rRNA) is a component of the large subunit of the eukaryotic ribosome. It is transcribed by RNA polymerase I as part of the 45S precursor that also contains 18S and 28S rRNA. Functionally, it is thought that 5.8S rRNA may be involved in ribosome translocation. The record is from RNAcentral. Lineage: Eukaryota; Viridiplantae; Streptophyta; Magnoliopsida; Asterales; Asteraceae.